This 484-nucleotide ribosomal RNA is filed under the name uncultured bacterium. Its description in RNAcentral is "partial 16S ribosomal RNA". It matches the Rfam family "Bacterial small subunit ribosomal RNA", at positions 30 to 507 of the family's 1533-position model. The record is from RNAcentral.
AUUGAACGCUGGCGGCAGGCCUAACACAUGCAAGUCGAGCGGAUGAAGGGAGCUUGCUCCUGGAUUCAGCGGCGGACGGGUGAGUAAUGCCUAGGAAUCUGCCUGGUAGUGGGGGAUAACGUCCGGAAACGGGCGCUAAUACCGCAUACGUCCUGAGGGAGAAAGUGGGGGAUCUUCGGACCUCACGCUAUCAGAUGAGCCUAGGUCGGAUUAGCUAGUUGGUGGGGUAAAGGCCUACCAAGGCGACGAUCCGUAACUGGCCUGAGAGGAUGAUCAGUCACACUGGAACUGAGACACGGUCCAGACUCCUACGGGAGGCAGCAGUGGGGAAUAUUGGACAAUGGGCGAAAGCCUGAUCCAGCCAUACCGCGUGUGUGAAGAAGGUCUUCGGAUUGUAAAGCACUUUAAGUUGGGAGGAAGGGCAGUAAGUUAAUACCUUGCUGUUUUGACGUUACCAACAGAAUAAGCACCGGCUAACUUCGUG